GUUACCCUACUGUGUGCGUGAGCGCCUUGAAGUUCAAAACCAACACUUGUACAUUGGGAGUCCGGACUCUGGUUAUGGCUUGUAGGCCUUGGAUUACAAGGUAACGAUAAGUAAUCAGGAGGACACCCACCUAUUUGGAACAGGUUCAAGAAACUUUGGGGUUCACGGCAUGUGUGGGGCUAAU
Molecule: non-coding RNA, 184 nt
Filed under: Bacillota bacterium
Lineage: Bacteria; Bacillati; Bacillota
Description: 6S RNA
Rfam family: 6S / SsrS RNA
About the family: E. coli 6S RNA was the first non coding RNA to be sequenced, but its function was unknown until recently.
Source: RNAcentral